GGGCAGAGGUGAGAGCCAAGUGGUGCAAGUAGAGCUAGACAAUGUUAACACAAAAAUUAAUGCUUAGGAAGCAUAUAGUUCUAGGUCAGAGUUGGAGCAGUAUCAUAGUGAUGCCUUAGAUAGACCACGUCGCACUACCAAGCCACCAGCAAAGUAUGGAUUUGAGGAUUCGGUUUCUUAUGCACUCAUUACCAGCAAUAGCGAUCCUAUAACUUUUCAGGAUGCCAUUGGUAGUCAGGAGAAAGGUAAAUGGAUAGAGGCUAUGACGGAGGAAAUUGAGUCAUUGCAUAAAAUGAUACUUGGGAUUUGGUGGAGCUUCCAGAGGGGAAGAAACAGAUAGGGUGUAAGUGGGUGUAUAGAAAGAAAGAAACAAUGUCAGAAAAGGAAGGAGAAAGAUACAAUGCUCAAUUAGUAGCAAAGGGAUACUCACAGAGGAAGAGAGUAGAUUAUGAUGAAAUUUUCUCUCCGGUCGUCAGACACACUUCCAUCAGGAUUGUUUUGGCAAUGGUAGCUAAUUUUAAUUUGGAGUUAGAGCAGCUAGAUGUGAAGACUGCUUUCCUUCAUGUGAUUUGGAGGAACAGAUUUUCAUGGAGCAGCCAGAAGGGUUUUUGGAACCAGGAAUAGAGAACCUUGUGUGUAAAUUGAAGAAGUCUUUAUACGGGCUUAAGCAGUCUCCACGGCAAUGGUACAAGAAGUUCGACUCUCAUAUGAUUCAGAUUGGCUACAGUCGUUGUGAGUAUGAUUGUUGCGUCUACUACAGAGUUCUUGAGGACAACUCAUAUAUUUUCUUGAUGUUGUAUGUGGACGACAUGUUAAUUGCUGUUAAGAACAUGGAUAAGGUAGGCAAAUUGAAAUCUUUGUUGAACAAUAAGUUUGAUAUGAAAGACUUGGGACCGGCUAAGAAAAUUCUUGGCAUGGAGAUCAACAGAGAUAGGAAAGCUAGAAAAUUAUGGGUGUCUCAGAAAAAUUAUUUGAAGAAAGUGUUAGAGAGGUUUAGCAUGUCAUAUGCAAAAUCAGUUGCCACACCACUUGCAAAUCACUUCAAAUUGUCUAAUAAUCAGUGUCCAAAGAGUGAAGAAGAUGUUGCAGAGAUGUCAAAGGUACCUUAUGCCAGCGCAGUUGGAUGUUUAAUGUAUGCAAUGGUGUGUACUAGAUCAGAUUUAGCACAUGCAGUCAGCGUGGUUAGUAAGUAUAUGGCUAAUCCUGGUAGAGAGCAUUGGAGAGCUGUAAAGUGGAUUUUCAGGUACUUGAAAGGUACAAUGGAGUGCGGGAUCAUGUUUGAGAGACAACAUGGUGAUAUUUCAGUUCAAGGAUAUGUAGAUGCAAAUUAUGCAGGGGAUUUGGAUGACAGAAGGUCCCAUACAGGUUAUGUUUUCACACUCGCAGGUGGGCCCAUAUGUUGGAGGUCAAUGGUGCAAUCACUUGUGGCAUUAUCUACAACUGAAGUAGAGUAUAUGGCGGCAACUGAGGCAGUCAAGGAAUUAUUGUGGUUGAAAGGGCUUGUCACGGAACUUGGGAUCAAGCAAGAUAGAAUGAAACUGUACUGUGAUAGUCAGAGCGCGAUCUGCUUAGCUAAGAAUCAGAUUUAUCAUGCAAGAACCAAGCACAUUGAUGUGAGAUUUCAUAAGAUAAGAGAAUUGGUUACUUCAGGAGAGCUGUUGUUAGAAAAAGUGCAUACCUUAGGAACGCAGCAGUCAUGAUGAUAAAGCCGAUCACAAUGGAUAGGUUCAAGCAUUGCUUGAACUUGAUUAACAUCUCUAGCUGUUAGAGAGGAUGUGUCUCAACCCAUUGGUCCUAAAUGGUGUGAUUUUUUUCAAGUUAUGUUUUUUCUCCUAAGGGGUGAAUAUUCGCCAAGGUGGAGAUUGUUGUACAUGUGGCUCAUAUAGAGUGGAACACAGGCCUUGGAUCAAAGGGCCGAUGCUGGCGCGGAGUGCAUUGAACGGAGCGACGGCAUCGGCCUUGCGUGAGUCUAAUUCACUAUCUGGUUGUUAGGGACGCUGAAUGGGCGGUACGAUACAGAGGUAUUUUCUGUACGGGCUUUAAAGCCUUAUAUGGGCCCAGGCUAGGGUUAGUAUAAAUAAUAUGUUGUAACCCUUUUUUCAUAACUGAAUAAAGAAAUCUCCGCUUCGCUCUCGUGGACGUAGGCACAUUGCCGAACCACGUAAAAUUCUUAUGUUGCAUAAAAUCCAACGUAAUGGUUACUCAUAAUUCAAAACUAUAAAUGACAAAAAAUAAAUUAAUAUACGUGAAAAAUAUUUCAAUUAAUUUAACAUGAUCUUUUAUUAAACUAAUUAUGCUCUUACUAUUUAACUUAAAUUUAUGACUCUCUUACAUAACUUUAUAGAAACCGUACUUGAUUCCUAGUGGCCUAGGACCCCAUUUGUAGUAUUAAAACAUUAAGUGUACUCAACAAGCUUUAAUUAAUUAUUUAAUUAGAUUCUAUUAUCAAUUGUAUCUCCAUACAACUUUUAGAUCAUUAAGUGACAAUGUCUUCACAUCUUAUGUUUUAACUUAAUAUAUCUCUAGAAUUUAUCUCGAGUAUACCUAACAAAAGAUAAAACUUUAGUUAAGUCAAAACUUAUCAUUCAAAAUUAUCUAAUAUUUCAUAGUUUCAAAAUAUCCCUAAUGUGACGCCUUGGGUGUACUCAAUAAGGGGCGCUCUCUCUCUCUCUAUAUAUAUAUAUACACACACACACACACAUAUAUACACACUCCCAAUAUGCAAAUAAACAAACAUAAUAAUGUGGACGCUUAUGGAUUUUUACUAACUAGUCUUCUCGAGCCAAAAGGAAGACUAGUUGGUCAUUCCUGGGGGCAUGUCAUUGAAUCAUACAUUGCUUCAUCACUAUGGUCUCUACUUGUUCUUAUAUCUUCAAUUAGUCCAAUUGUAACUUGUAUUCUAUACUAAUUGGCACGCGUACCUAAAAGAAUUGGACAAAGGCCCAUAAUAAUAACGGACUUACAUGUCCAAAAUUAAUAAUGAGCUCACAAGCCCAAAAUUAAUAAAUGGCUCGCAGGUCCAAAACAAGAAUUAAAACUAGUCAUUCAACACAUCUACAUGUUCGAGUCUAAAAUCAUCCAAUAAGUAUUCACUCAUCACAUAAAUACAUUAUUAUCUAAUAUCAAAUAUUAUACAUAAACAUAUUUUAAAUUUCUAACAAUUAAAUUUGUCUAAA
RNAcentral lists this long non-coding RNA (3176 nucleotides) under Olea europaea subsp. europaea. Lineage: Eukaryota; Viridiplantae; Streptophyta; Magnoliopsida; Lamiales; Oleaceae. The record is from RNAcentral.